GGGUUGUGAGGUUAAGCGACUAAGCGUACACGGUGGAUGCCCUGGCAGUCAGAGGCGAUGAAGGGCGUGCUAAUCUGCGAUAAGCGCCGGUAAGGUGAUAUGAACCGUUAUAACCGGCGAUACCCGAAUGGGGAAACCCAGUGUGAUUCGUCACACUAUCAUUAACUGAAUCCAUAGGUUAAUGAGGCGAACCGGGGGAACUGAAACAUCUAAGUACCCCGAGGAAAAGAAAUCAACCGAGAUUCCCCCAGUAGCGGCGAGCGAACGGGGAGGAGCCCAGAGCCUGAAUCAGCAUGUGUGUUAGUGGAAGCGUCUGGAAAGGCGCGCGAUACAGGGUGACAGCCCCGUACACAAAAGCGCAUGUGCUGUGAGCUCGAUGAGUAGGGCGGGACACGUGGUAUCCUGUCUGAAUAUGGGGGGACCAUCCUCCAAGGCUAAAUACUCCUGACUGACCGAUAGUGAACCAGUACCGUGAGGGAAAGGCGAAAAGAACCCCGGCGAGGGGAGUGAAAAAGAACCUGAAACCGUGUACGUACAAGCAGUGGGAGCACCCUUUGGGUGUGACUGCGUACCUUUUGUAUAAUGGGUCAGCGACUUAUAUUCUGUAGCAAGGUUAACCGAAUAGGGGAGCCGGAGGGAAACCGAGUCUUAACCGGGCGUUAAGUUGCAGGGUAUAGACCCGAAACCCGGUGAUCUAGCCAUGGGCAGGUUGAAGGUUGGGUAACACUAACUGGAGGACCGAACCGACUAAUGUUGAAAAAUUAGCGGAUGACCUGUGGCUGGGGGUGAAAGGCCAAUCAAACCGGGAGAUAGCUGGUUCUCCCCGAAAGCUAUUUAGGUAGCGCCUCGUGAAUUCAUCUCCGGGGGUAGAGCACUGUUUCGGCUAGGGGGCCAUCCCGGCUUACCAACCCGAUGCAAACUGCGAAUACCGGAGAAUGUUAUCACGGGAGACACACGGCGGGUGCUAACGUCCGUCGUGAAGAGGGAAACAACCCAGACCGCCAGCUAAGGUCCCAAAGUCAUGGUUAAGUGGGAAACGAUGUGGGAAGGCCCAGACAGCCAGGAUGUUGGCUUAGAAGCAGCCAUCAUUUAAAGAAAGCGUAAUAGCUCACUGGUCGAGUCGGCCUGCGCGGAAGAUGUAACGGGGCUAAACCAUGCACCGAAGCUGCGGCAGCGACACUGUGUGUUGUUGGGUAGGGGAGCGUUCUGUAAGCCUGUGAAGGUGUGUCGUGAGGCAUGCUGGAGGUAUCAGAAGUGCGAAUGCUGACAUAAGUAACGAUAAAGCGGGUGAAAAGCCCGCUCGCCGGAAGACCAAGGGUUCCUGUCCAACGUUAAUCGGGGCAGGGUGAGUCGACCCCUAAGGCGAGGCCGAAAGGCGUAGUCGAUGGGAAACGGGUUAAUAUUCCCGUACUUGGUGUUACUGCGAAGGGGGGACGGAGAAGGCUAUGUUGGCCGGGCGACGGUUGUCCCGGUUUAAGCGUGUAGGUGUGUGUUCCAGGUAAAUCCGGUUCACUUUAACACUGAGGCGUGACGACGAGGCACUACGGUGCUGAAGCAACAAAUGCCCUGCUUCCAGGAAAAGCCUCUAAGCAUCAGGUAACAUCAAAUCGUACCCCAAACCGACACAGGUGGUCAGGUAGAGAAUACCAAGGCGCUUGAGAGAACUCGGGUGAAGGAACUAGGCAAAAUGGUGCCGUAACUUCGGGAGAAGGCACGCUGACACGUAGGUGAAGUGAUUUACUCAUGGAGCUGAAGUCAGUCGAAGAUACCAGCUGGCUGCAACUGUUUAUUAAAAACACAGCACUGUGCAAACACGAAAGUGGACGUAUACGGUGUGACGCCUGCCCGGUGCCGGAAGGUUAAUUGAUGGGGUCAGCGCAAGCGAAGCUCCUGAUCGAAGCCCCGGUAAACGGCGGCCGUAACUAUAACGGUCCUAAGGUAGCGAAAUUCCUUGUCGGGUAAGUUCCGACCUGCACGAAUGGCGUAAUGAUGGCCAGGCUGUCUCCACCCGAGACUCAGUGAAAUUGAACUCGCUGUGAAGAUGCAGUGUACCCGCGGCAAGACGGAAAGACCCCGUGAACCUUUACUAUAGCUUGACACUGAACAUUGAGCCUUGAUGUGUAGGAUAGGUGGGAGGCUUUGAAGUGUGGACGCCAGUCUGCAUGGAGCCGACCUUGAAAUACCACCCUUUAAUGUUUGAUGUUCUAACGUGGACCCGUUACCCGGGUUGCGGACAGUGUCUGGUGGGUAGUUUGACUGGGGCGGUCUCCUCCUAAAGAGUAACGGAGGAGCACGAAGGUUGGCUAAUCCUGGUCGGACAUCAGGAGGUUAGUGCAAUGGCAUAAGCCAGCUUGACUGCGAGCGUGACGGCGCGAGCAGGUGCGAAAGCAGGUCAUAGUGAUCCGGUGGUUCUGAAUGGAAGGGCCAUCGCUCAACGGAUAAAAGGUACUCCGGGGAUAACAGGCUGAUACCGCCCAAGAGUUCAUAUCGACGGCGGUGUUUGGCACCUCGAUGUCGGCUCAUCACAUCCUGGGGCUGAAGUAGGUCCCAAGGGUAUGGCUGUUCGCCAUUUAAAGUGGUACGCGAGCUGGGUUUAGAACGUCGUGAGACAGUUCGGUCCCUAUCUGCCGUGGGCGCUGGAGAACUGAGGGGGGCUGCUCCUAGUACGAGAGGACCGGAGUGGACGCAUCACUGGUGUUCGGGUUGUCAUGCCAAUGGCACUGCCCGGUAGCUAAAUGCGGAAGAGAUAAGUGCUGAAAGCAUCUAAGCACGAAACUUGCCCCGAGAUGAGUUCUCCCUGAGACUUAGAGUCUCCUGAAGGAACGUUGAAGACGACGACGUUGAUAGGCCGGGUGUGUAAGCGCAGCGAUGCGUUGAGCUAACCGGUACUAAUGAACCGUGAGGCUUAACCUUACAACGCCG
This 2922-nucleotide ribosomal RNA is filed under the name Salmonella enterica. RNAcentral's name for it is "partial 23S ribosomal RNA". It matches the Rfam family "Bacterial large subunit ribosomal RNA". The record is from RNAcentral. RNAcentral also lists the same sequence under 1 other name. Lineage: Bacteria; Pseudomonadati; Pseudomonadota; Gammaproteobacteria; Enterobacterales; Enterobacteriaceae.